UUGUAUUUCUCUAUUGUAACGUAUGUUUAAAGAAAUAUUGUUUUUUUUACCAUCUUAAUGUAUGUGUAACAAAUGUUGUUUUAUAUAAUAUGUAUUUCUUUAGUUUUUAAAAAAUUAUUUGGAGUUUUAGGGUUUUAGAGUUUAAGUUGGAGAAAGAGAACGAAGUAGUAGAGAAGAGAUAUGAUGUUAGAUGAUAUGUGACUUUGG
This 207-nucleotide long non-coding RNA is filed under the name Brassica napus (rape). RNAcentral's name for it is "long non-coding RNA (BNAP_LNC017359)". The record is from RNAcentral. Lineage: Eukaryota; Viridiplantae; Streptophyta; Magnoliopsida; Brassicales; Brassicaceae.